RNAcentral lists this long non-coding RNA (206 nucleotides) under Mytilus galloprovincialis (Mediterranean mussel). The record is from RNAcentral. Lineage: Eukaryota; Metazoa; Mollusca; Bivalvia; Mytilida; Mytilidae.
CGGGGUUCUUAAUUUCUGUAUUCUUUCAUAUUUUAGGCCAUAUUUCUCUAUUCUUUAUACUUUUUGACAAUUAUUCUCUUAUCAUUACAUUUUAACACCAUAAUUCUAGGUAUUUUAUUUAUUUCUUAGUCCAUUGUCUCUAUUAUUUAUAUUUUUUGUCCACUAUUCUCAAUUCCAUAAUCCCCCAUCAACGGCCUCUAGUUAAU